CAUGUCUUUUGCUCUGCAGUCA
Molecule: microRNA, 22 nt
Filed under: Cavia porcellus (domestic guinea pig)
Lineage: Eukaryota; Metazoa; Chordata; Mammalia; Rodentia; Caviidae
Description: cpo-miR-511-5p
Gene: cpo-miR-511-5p
Source: miRBase by way of RNAcentral